UACGGAGGGGGCAAGCGUUAAUCGGAAUCACUGGGCGUAAAGCGCGCGUAGGCGGCUUUUUAAGUCGGACGUGAAAGCCCUCGGCUCAAACGGGGAACUGCGUUCGAAACUGGGAAGCUUGAGUCCUGGAGAGGGUGGCGGAAUUCCGGGUGUAGGAGUGAAAUCCGUAGAUAUCCGGAGGAACACCGGCGGCGAAGGCGGCCACCUGGACAGGUACUGACGCUGAGGCGCGAAAGCGUGGGGAGCAAACAGG
Molecule: ribosomal RNA, 253 nt
Filed under: uncultured bacterium
Lineage: Bacteria
Description: partial 16S ribosomal RNA
Rfam family: Bacterial small subunit ribosomal RNA
Source: RNAcentral